This 253-nucleotide ribosomal RNA is filed under the name uncultured bacterium. Its description in RNAcentral is "partial 16S ribosomal RNA". It matches the Rfam family "Bacterial small subunit ribosomal RNA", at positions 524 to 776 of the family's 1533-position model. The record is from RNAcentral.
UACGUAGGGUGCAAGCGUUGUCCGGAAUUAUUGGGCGUAAAGGGCUCGUAGGCGGUCCGUCACGUCGGGAGUGAAAUCCUGGGGCUUAACCCCAGAACUGCUUCCGAUAUGGGCAGACUAGAGGUAGGUAGGGGAGAAUGGAAUUCCUGGUGUAGCGGUGGAAUGCGCAGAUAUCAGGAGGAACACCAGUGGCGAAGGCGGUUCUCUGGGCCUUACCUGACGCUGAGGAGCGAAAGCGUGGGGAGCAAACAGG